AGCACCACUGCGAUCAAUCGCGAUUCGAUGUGAUCGAAACGUACGACUCAUUUCAUCGUCGCGCGACGCGGCUACAACAGGCAGGGCGACGUCGCGAGAUGACGACGGUGAUGACGACGACGACGGCGGCGACGGGGGCGGGCGUCGCGACGCCAACUCGAGACGACGUCGGGCACGACGAGGCACGAGAACGCGGUGCGACCGGCACCGGACAUUAAAAGCGCGCGCGUCGCGAGUCAACGCGAGCGGCGGCGUCUCGCGCGGACAACUUCAGGCCGCCGGACCGCCGCUGUCAGCGAAAUAUCCUCCCGCGGUCGACGAGCCGCGACGUGCUGCAAGCCGGAGCAGAUGGAGGCACGGAGGAAACGCCGAGAAGAAAGAAAGGAUUGACCGAGAGGAGAGGGAGACGAGCGCGCGGAGAGACGACGGGACGGUGAAUUCCAGUCGUCGAAAAGCGCUCGCGGUGUGGUCCGCAGUGGUCCGCCCGUUCCGCUCCGUUCCCCUCACUUAUUCCCCCGUCCGGAUUCACAGCCGAUGCGACGCCGCGACACGACGCGAUGUACGGAUUAUGCGGGGCGAUUCUACGCGACUGCUCCUCCCGCGAGGAUCCCAGCCUGGACGAUCGCCUCGUGCGGCCGAUAGUCGCCGGCGACGAAGAGAGAUCAAUGACUCGCGGAAAGAAAUCCGAAGAUUCGUGACGCCCUCUUCUCGCCCGAGCUUUCCUUGCGCAAGAGAAUCUUCGACCGAGAAAACCCGGCUCCGGUGUCCUUCAGGCGGAUGUAGAGUGGUCACGAGAUUCAUUCACCCCAUGAUUGUCUUUGAGCGUAGAAAAAACCCGAACAGCUUGAGAUCAUCCAGCUGGUUAUCAAAGGAUGACGUUAUCAAGGUCAAAUUUACAACGCGUUUCCAUUUACGGCUACAGCAGUUCGAGCGAGAAGGUUCUUAAUGGCGUUCGGUACUUUGUACGACCUUCGUCCUUAAUACCGCUUUAAACAAUAGCGCAGCUAAUCAGGGUGCAGAGAAAGGUAGACCUGGAUAAAAGAUAUGCCUAACCGUAAGGAACGACCCUCUGCCGAGAACAUAUACCUACGUGUACCGUGGAUUUUGCGUACGGACCGGUACGGCACAGCAAUAUCUGCCAUAUGGCAACGGCCUGGGGCGGCAUGGCUCACCGUUCCUCAUCCCUUCAGUGAACUUUUGAGAACUUGACGAGAUAGCAUCUGCGUCUGGAUACGAGUAUGGAAGAGAAAUCGCGAUAAGACGGAAACGGCGGAGCGGUCGAGUCUACGCGCGGAGUCCGAUCGCGGAGAGAAACGACGUAAUAUAUAUUUCACGACGAAAUCGUUUCCACGAUCGCUACUGGAAGGAUACAGCGCGCCGGGGUGAAAAUCGUGCCACGUGGCCCGCGGGUACUUCAGAAACAGGGGGAAACUCGGACCCGGUCCUGGCGAACGUGCGAUGCAGUAAAUAUAUUCGCCUGGACAAGAGAAACGCGGCCCGUGUGUACUCGGGUACACCGAAGAAACCGAUGGAAAUGGCCGAAUAAUCCGCAGAGAAAAAUCGUUCGAAUCAUCCAGCGGGGGAAGGAGAAACGCGAAAAAGACGCGGUCCGUCGUGUCGCGUACCUACGUCACUGCUCUCGGUCAAUGCAUCAAUCCGGCCUGCAUCUGUAUGUAUUUACGCUAGACUGACGGAGGGGAGGAGGAGGAAGAGGAGGUGGAGCAGCAAGGGGGAGACCCCUAUGUGACAUCAUCCCCCACGCGCACUCGCCUGGCCGCUUCGUCUCGCUGGCUGACUUCUGUCGCCUAACUCCAAAACACCCCUGGACCCUGCCACCUCCCUUUACCUUUAAUCUUUAUCAAUCCAUCCAGCCGAGGCCGAAUCGAACGCACGAGCGUGCACGCACGAGAGACGCAACGAUGUGCGGACGCCACCGCGCAUUAUUCACGGCCGAUAGCGCCUUCACCCUCGCCACGUCCGUCCACCUCUUUCACUGAGUUUCACCCUCCCCGUCCUCCCGUUUCGCCUGUGAGCUCUUCGCGGCUCCCUAAACUCCGUACCUUAAACAUCUCGUCCUCUUCGACUUGUGUUCCUCGCAUAAAUGGCUUGAAUCGCUAAUUGAGCCGAUACUUUCUCCAUUUUUGUCGUCUACGUUUUUAUCUCGUUGAAUUAACAAUUAUUGGCACGUGGACAAUUUGUCGAAUAUACUGAUGUCGAUAUUGACGGUGCUAACAAUAAUGGCCUCGCAACUCAAUACCAACUGUAAUUGAUCAAAAUUGACACUACAUCAAUCAUUGUAACUUUGCAAUCAACAACGUGACUGUUACGCACAAUAUAUUGUAUUACACUUAAUUAUUGAAUGGAAAGUUAUGAGAUUGAUAUAACAUUAUUGUUGACAUGUUUAUCGAGGACUGCCUUGUUCCUUUUUAAAUUGAUAUUUUCGGAGUAAUUGCAUAGUGUCAGGCUAUUUUUAUGUUAAAAGCUGAUUAUAACCCAAUACCGAUUAUAAACGUGCAUUAUCGAUUACGUUAAACAUGUAUAGUUCCUAUUUAAUAUUCGGACUUUGUAUACAUAUUGUACCUGAUUAAAAUUUGAUCAAGAUUG
This is an RNA transcript of Dinoponera quadriceps, 2604 nucleotides long. RefSeq lists it as uncharacterized. Lineage: Eukaryota; Metazoa; Arthropoda; Insecta; Hymenoptera; Formicidae. The transcript has 5 exons. The record is from RefSeq and is a predicted model, not a curated record.